Molecule: long non-coding RNA, 1346 nt
Filed under: Cottoperca gobio
Lineage: Eukaryota; Metazoa; Chordata; Actinopteri; Perciformes; Bovichtidae
Description: lncRNA (ENSCGOG00000022492.1)
Source: RNAcentral
AGACAUUUUCUUAGAAAUAUAUUUAUAUACGUAUUUAAUAUAUUUUUAUAUUUUCUUUAGCAGGAUUAAGGGCAUUUGAUAUGGACUAUAUGCACUAUACUGAGAGUUUUUCUCCUCGUCUUCUCCACCAGGCCCCCGAUCGUCCAAACCAUCGUCCCUUGUUGUGUCCUCGCUUCUUGUCUCACAUGAACGCUCGUCCUGAGGAUCUCAGACCUCCUUGUUUCCUGAGCUCCAAGUCCAGACUGCAGCCUCCGUCUCAGGAGAAGAUGCUGAACACACACACGCUCACUGCCGCGCGGACACGAGCGCUGGAGGGUCACGUCCAUCUCAAUCCAGACGGAAGAAGGAACCGUGUGCAGAUGACCGGAAGCUCUCCUGCUGUAGUCGUCCCCUCUCUUCCGCUCCCUGCUGCUCCACCAUCAUCCACCUUUAACCCAACACCUCCCCACCUAAACAACCUUCACGACGACUUCGAGACGCAACAAAGUAAACCCGACUCUGUGCCAGCGUCUCCCUCCCGCCCUCAUCCUGCCUCGGAGGGAAAAGAGGAAUUUCACGAGAGGGAGCGAACACCUGCUGAGCUGUCCGUCACAGAGUCACCAGAACAAUCGCCGCCGCCGGCCUCCACCAUCUCACACGGGUCUCUGUCUGAUUUUAGUCGUCCACCAUCGAGCCUGUUCAGCCGCAGCACCGACCUCGCCAGUGGCAGCAGCAGCGUCCUGUCUGAUAUCCGAGACUCAGACCCUGAAGGCAGCACUUGUUUCUCUCCGCUCCGGCCUUGCUCGGUGAUGGAGUCACCUUCGGGCUCUUCCCCUCCAGCAGGAUGCAACCCUCGCCAAUCAUCCACGAACGCUACGGCCACGCCUCCACUCUGUGAACCCCUCCCACCUCGCCCAACGUCGGGUGUCCGUCCUCCGUCUGAUGAACCUCUGAGUAGGCGUGAAAGCGCAAAAACAGAGAAGCUCCACCAGGAUGCAUCUGCAGAUCCCGGCCUCCACCCGUCUUUGGACUCCGAUCACGGCCUCGUUACCUUGGCGUUCCCCUCCACUACUUGGUCUUCCUGCCCGAGUCCACAGAUGACCACUCCCCGCUCCGGGUCAGGACCAAAGCUGACCCCUCCUGCAUCAGUGACUCUGCUGGAGUCUCAUCGCUGGCCCGUCCUGCCUCCCAUCUCUCCUGUCAGAGAGUUGUCUCCAGGCCUGGCGGCGCUGACGGUGGGCUGUGACUCGGGGAAUCUGGGCUCCCUGUCCCGGGUCCAGCUGCUCCUCCUGGAUCGACCGGAGCCCGAUACCCCGCUGAGUCCCUUCGGUCAGGAAGAGGAGCUCUCACCGGGUCACUGGGCCGAC